RNAcentral lists this small RNA (614 nucleotides) under Pan troglodytes (chimpanzee). Its description in RNAcentral is "retained intron". The record is from RNAcentral. Lineage: Eukaryota; Metazoa; Chordata; Mammalia; Primates; Hominidae.
AGGACUGUCUAGCUCUGAGUCCUAGCAAUAGACUCCUUAGAGGGGUAGUACAUUUAUCUCGAUUUUCUCUAGAUAAUGCAGGCGGAAGACCUGGGUUCCCGGGUGGGGCAUUGCAGUUCUUCCUGUGUUUGGCUUCCAGGAAUUACAUGAACGACAGCCUUCGCACCGACGUCUUCGUGCGCUUCCAGCCAGAGAGCAUCGCCUGCGCCUGCAUUUAUCUUGCUGCCCGGACGCUGGAGAUCCCUUUGCCCAAUCGUCCCCAUUGGUUUCUUUUGUUUGGAGCAAGUGAAGAAGAAAUUCAGGAAAUCUGCUUAAAGAUCUUGCAGCUUUAUGCUCGGAAAAAGGUUGAUCUCACACACCUGGAGGGUGAAGUGGAAAAAAGAAAGCACGCUAUCGAAGAGGCAAAGGCCCAAGCCCGGGGCCUGUUGCCUGGGGGCACACAGGUGCUGGAUGGUACCUCGGGGUUCUCUCCUGCCCCCAAGCUGGCUUGUCAUCUGAUGAAGGUGUUAUAGUGUGGGGCCAUAGAUGAUACACGUCAUCAGACCUAGAGUUCAGUGUGAUGCAAAGGGCCUGUCUACAGUUCUUUUUUUUGAGAUGGAGUCUCGCUCUGUCGU